RNAcentral lists this non-coding RNA (28 nucleotides) under Rattus norvegicus (Norway rat). The record is from RNAcentral. Lineage: Eukaryota; Metazoa; Chordata; Mammalia; Rodentia; Muridae.
UGGAAGAUGGUAAAUUCAUUUAUGUCCA